RNAcentral lists this long non-coding RNA (2032 nucleotides) under Musa acuminata (dwarf banana). RNAcentral describes it as "long non-coding RNA (MACU_LNC010010)". Lineage: Eukaryota; Viridiplantae; Streptophyta; Magnoliopsida; Zingiberales; Musaceae. The record is from RNAcentral.
GCAUUCCACUUCGAAAAUAGAGAUCUCGCCCACCCAAUAGUGCCUUCACUAGAAUGGAAAGUGGUUUAGAGAGAAGUUGUUGUUGUUUAGAGGUGCCUUCACUAGAAUGAGUAGUAGUAUAAGUUUAGGCCUUCCAAAUGAGAUUAGGUUCGUGUUAUUACGACUGAUGAGCGAGUGAGUCUGACUUUAGUGUAUGUAGUGAAGAAAAAGGGUCGACUACGUUGAGUAUUCUCGACCACCAGGGGAAGUUCUAUUACUAGAAAGCAGUGGGGGGGAAAUUCCAACAUCAACUUGGUUAUUGGACUGGAAUCCCAUUAGGUUGGAAGUUGAGAAAGAUGAAAGGAACGAAAACCCUGCACAACGGCUGCGAAACUCAAAGAAGGAUCAAAAAAGCACUAAAAGAAGGAGAAAAGGGAAGAUUCUUGAUGAAGCAAAUAUCUCUGUGUAGAACAAUCUCAUAAAGAUGAAGCAAAUAUCUCCGUGUAGAACAAUCUCAUAAAGACAGACCAAGGCUCGAGAAAAGAAAUAGAACGAUUGAGUCAGAGCAGAGUUUAUGAGGGAAAGGAAAGGGGUAAAGAAAGGUCUAGGGAGCAGCUACACUAAGAAUGGGACUAAAUCUAAUGCGCUAUCUCGUACCGAUUCCUUCUUUUCAGUCCCAACUCAACUCUCUUGGACUUAUUGUAAUGGCGGUUAAUGCUUGUUCGGUUAAUGAAGUAGAAAGUCAACCACUAUUAUAGAAAUGAAAUAAACUCACCAUCCAUAAAUAGAUCAUUAUUAUAUAUAUCCUAUAAUAGAAUAGAGUAACUAAGCACCGAAACACUACUUACUAGCCCCCUAAACUAACUGGUGACUGCUUUCUGGUUACUUGCUUAGCUUUUGCUUUAUGACUUACGCCGUAGCUUUUUGACUUGUUGACUUUAGUUUGUUUGUUCCGUAGCUUUUUCUCUAUGUUUUGAUUCUUUCGUUCCCAAUCUCUUACUACCGAGCUUCACUACAGCAGAAAAGGAGCGCACUCAUAUUUCUCUGGUUUUAAUUAGUAGCAAGUUCUUCUAUACCUCUGGCUCAUCCACCUCAGGCAACAAAUGAUUGUACUGCUGACUCAUCUCUGCUAACUUCAUUCGGAUCCGAUACCUCUGUAAACAGCCAAGCUACUAGGCAAGUCCAGUUUACUAAGAGCAAGCCCUAACUCUCCACUUUCAGGUUCUUUCCUUACACUAGAAACUAACUUAUUGAAUGAAAUUGAAGAUUACCCGCUUCUACACUACAUGAUACCAGCAUGAAAUAAGUGUGUGGCGCACUUUAUACCCUACCGCUCCGUGGGCAGUCGAAAAGAGCUUAUCGAUUAGACUAAACUUCGAUUGAUGAACCAAAAUAGUAAGCUAAACUCUCUAAACUUGGGUAUAAGAACCUAUCUCACCGAACCUAUACUCGAACCCUAUCUCUACACUUGAGGAAUCGCACUCAACAAAGAAUUCCAUUUACCUUACCCCGAGUCGACUCCUUAGCGCCGAGUCAAACUGUCAUUCACUCUAUCGAGCGCAGAACUAAGAGCAUAUAAUUGAGCUCUGAACUUACCCUUGACCUCAGACAUGCGACUGGCAAUUCUACAGCUUCGGAUUCAUUCGUGGACUUAACUCGCACAGAAAGACACUCUGAAACACCACCGCUUUUAUCUAACUCACUUUCUCAGGAUUCUUCUCCAGCUUAUGUUUCAUCUACUGAUCUUUCCACUCACACUAUACUUUCUGGACGAAAACAAUACUUCACUGUCAAAAGAGGAGGAUACUCUACUUCCUCAUCUGCUCUAUCUUCGGCUUCAGAUCAAUAGGAAUCUGCUUACCCGACCCGAACUAACUAAAGAAUCCACCCCACUACUAGCAAGCCUACUACUAGCAACCCUGCUUCAAAGCCUUAGACUGAUGAGUGGAAUUCUUAUCUUAGUAUCGGUGGUACUGGUUUCAGUAUAUGCCUGUAGAUUUGCAUUCUUUACCUGUAGUUGAUAGUAGCUACCUCGACUCUGGACUAGCUUGCC